UUUAAAAUAACUCUUAGGGACACAAAAGCCAUGCAAGUGUUUAUACGCAGGCUCCCGGUGAAGGCUAAUAUCAGGCAGGCUCCCUGGUGGCACGGCCUGAAAGAUGGCCCAAAUUUAAAGAGAAUCAUAUGUCAUGUGGUCUGGGGUCAGGCACCGCCCUCUGCUCCGUGGACCCCAGGGGAGACGUCACUUUGUAGGCACUACCCUGAGAAAGAGUGAGAAAUGUGUGCAAAGAUACACAGCAAGGCCGUGUGUUGGAGGGUUUAUAUUUGGAGAAAAUCUAAGGUCCAACAUGAGGGAGCGCAAGACGGAAAUUAAAGAAGAAAAAUGUUCCACUGGCUUGGUGGCUACGCGUACAAAAAGAUUUCCCCGAUAAAUAUUGCUCCCAAUCGCUCACUUGUGAAGGCUGCAUGAUGUGAAAUUAAACUCGGGUCGGGGGCUGUGGCUGGUUCUGUCACUGUGGUUUGGGGGAAAUGAAAGUCAUUCAUCUCAGGCCAGUGUGACGGGCCGGCCCCGGCCCCUGCCACCUCCCCACGUGUGCACGCAGACCUGAGGUUUUGCAGCUCAUUGGACGGAUCCCAUCUGUGGCCUUCAUUUCAGGAGCUCGGGGCAUUUUUGAAGAAGGGAGGACCGCC
Talpa occidentalis (Iberian mole) is the source of this 635-nucleotide long non-coding RNA. RefSeq lists it as uncharacterized. The record is from RefSeq and is a predicted model, not a curated record. The transcript is spliced from 3 exons. Lineage: Eukaryota; Metazoa; Chordata; Mammalia; Eulipotyphla; Talpidae.